This 446-nucleotide ribosomal RNA is filed under the name uncultured bacterium. Its description in RNAcentral is "partial 16S ribosomal RNA". It matches the Rfam family "Bacterial small subunit ribosomal RNA", at positions 338 to 795 of the family's 1533-position model. The record is from RNAcentral.
CCUACGGGUGGCAGCAGUCGAGAAUCAUGCACAAUGGGGGAAACACUGAUGGUGCGACGCAGCGUGGAGGAAUGAAGGUCUUUGGAUUGUAAACUCCUGUCAUGCGGGAGUAAAUUAAAAAGAUAGUACCAUAAGAGGAAGAGACGGCUAACUCUGAGCCAGCAGCCGCGGUAAUACAGAGGUGUCAAGCGUUGUUCGGAAUCACUGGGCGUAAAGCGUUCGUAGGCUGUUGCGUAAGUCGUGUGUGAAAGGCGCGGGCUCAACCCGCGGACGGCACAUGGAACUGCGAGGCUAGAGUAAUGGAGGGGGAACCGGAAUUCGCGGUGUAGCAGUGAAAUGCGUAGAUAUCGAGAGGAACACUCGUGGCGAAGGCGGGUUCCUGGACAUUAACUGACGCUGAGGCACGAAGGCCAGGGGAGCGAAAGGGAUUAGAUACCCGUGUAGUC